AAGGAUCAUUAAUGAAUUUUAGGACUCUCUUUUUAGAGGUCCGACCCUUUCAUUUCCUUACACUGUGCACACACUUCUUUUCACACAUUUUAACACUAUAGUAUAAGAAUGUAACAGUCUCUUCAUUGAGCAUAAAUAAAAAUAAAACUUUCAGCAACGGAUCUCUUGGGUCUCGCAUCGAUGAAGAACGCAGCGAAUUGCGAUAAGUAAUGUGAAUUGCAGAAUUCAGUGAAUCAUCGAAUCUUUGAACGCACCUUGCACUCUUUGGUAUUCCGAAGAGUAUGUCUGUUUGAGUGUCAUGAAACUCUCAACCCCCCUAUUUUGUAAUGAGAUGGGGGUGGGGUUGGAUUAUGACUGUUGUCGGGGUAAUUGCCGGGUCAGUUGAAAUACACGAGCAACCCAUUUGAAAUAAACGGGUUGACUCGGGGUAAUAAUUAUUUCGCUGAGGACGUUUUCUUCAAAAGUAAGAGGUGCUUCUAAUGCGCUUUUAUAGCAUUUAUAUUUUAGACCUCAAAUCAGUCAGGACUACCCGCUGAACUUAA
This 542-nucleotide ribosomal RNA is filed under the name Cystobasidium pinicola. RNAcentral describes it as "eukaryotic LSU rRNA". The stretch from base 146 to 299 matches the Rfam family "5.8S ribosomal RNA". The record is from RNAcentral. Lineage: Eukaryota; Fungi; Basidiomycota; Cystobasidiomycetes; Cystobasidiales; Cystobasidiaceae.